GACGAACGCUGGCGGCGUGCUUAACACAUGCAAGUCGAACGGAAAGGCCCUGCUUUUGUGGGGUGCUCGAGUGGCGAACGGGUGAGUAACACGUGAGUAACCUGCCCUUGACUUUGGGAUAACUUCAGGAAACUGGGGCUAAUACCGGAUAGGAGCUCCUGCUGCAUGGUGGGGGUUGGAAAGUUUCGGCGGUUGGGGAUGGACUCGCGGCUUAUCAGCUUGUUGGUGGGGUAGUGGCUUACCAAGGCUUUGACGGGUAGCCGGCCUGAGAGGGUGACCGGCCACAUUGGGACUGAGAUACGGCCCAGACUCCUACGGGAGGCAGCAGUGGGGAAUAUUGCACAAUGGGCGGAAGCCUGAUGCAGCAACGCCGCGUGCGGGAUGACGGCCUUCGGGUUGUAAACCGCUUUCGCCUGUGACGAAGCGUGAGUGACGGUAAUGGGUAAAGAAGCACCGGCUAACUACGUGCCAGCAGCCGCGGUGAUACGUAGGGUGCGAGCGUUGUCCGGAUUUAUUGGGCGUAAGGGCUCGUAGGUGGUUGAUCGCGUCGGAAGUGUAAUCUUGGGGCUUAACCCUGAGCGUGCUUUCGAUACGGGUUGACUUGAGGAAGGUAGGGGAGAAUGGAAUUCCUGGUGGAGCGGUGGAAUGCGCAGAUAUCAGGAGGAACACCAGUGGCGAAGGCGGUUCUCUGGGCCUUUCCUGACGCUGAGGAGCGAAAGCGUGGGGAGCGAACAGGCUUAGAUACCCUGGUAGUCCACGCUGUAAACGGUGGGUACUAGGUGUGGGGUCCAUUCCACGGGUUCCGUGCCGUAGCUAACGCUUUAAGUACCCCGCCUGGGGAGUACGGCCGCAAGGCUAAAACUCAAAGGAAUUGACGGGGCCCCGCACAAGCGGCGGAGCAUGCGGAUUAAUUCGAUGCAACGCGUAGAACCUUACCUGGGUUUGACAUGGAUCGGGAGUGCUCAGAGAUGGGUGUGCCUCUUUUGGGGUCGGUUCACAGGUGGUGCAUGGCUGUCGUCAGCUCGUGUCGUGAGAUGUUGGGUUAAGUCCCGCAACGAGCGCAACCCUUGUUCACUGUUGCCAGCACGUUAUGGUGGGGACUCAGUGGAGACCGCCGGGGUCAACUCGGAGGAAGGUGGGGAUGACGUCAAGUCGUCAUGCCCCUUAUGUCCAGGGCUUCACGCAUGCUACAAUGGCUGGUACAGAGAGUGGCGAGCCUGUGAGGGUGAGCGAAUCUCGGAAAGCCGGUCUCAGUUCGGAUUGGGGUCUGCAACUCGACCUCAUGAAGUCGGAGUCGCUAGUAAUCGCAGAUCAGCAACGCUGCGGUGAAUACGUUCCCGGG
This 1342-nucleotide ribosomal RNA is filed under the name uncultured bacterium. RNAcentral describes it as "16S ribosomal RNA". It matches the Rfam family "Bacterial small subunit ribosomal RNA", at positions 28 to 1378 of the family's 1533-position model. The record is from RNAcentral.